UCUGAAACUGUAUGCUUACAAGAUGUCAGAGACCGUUAAAGGUUGAUGACGUGCCUAUUGAAGAAUGAGCCGGCGAGUUAUGUAUACAUGCGAGGUUAAGGAGAAGAUCCGGAGCCGUAGCGAAAGCGAGUCUGAAUAGGGCGUUCAGUAUGUGUAUGUAGACCCGAAACCCGACGAUCUAGCCAUGAUCAAGAUGAAGUAAGGGUCAAACCUUAUGGAGGUCUGAACCGACGUUCGUUGAAACGACCGCGGAUGAAUUGUGGCUCGUGGUGAAAUUCCAAUCGAGUCGGGUAAUAGCUGGUUCUCCUCGAAAUAGCUUUAGGGCUAGCCUCAGAACACUACAUUUUGGAGGUAGAGCACUGAAUGAAAGCGAGCCGCGCCAAGCGGUAUCAAUUUCAAUCAAACUCCGAAUUCCGAGAUGCUUAUUCUGGGAGUCAGACUGUGGGAGAUAAGUUUCAUGGUCAAAAGGGCAACAGCCCGGACCGCCAACUAAGGUCCCUAAAUUCGCGCUAAGUGUUAAAGGAUGUAGAGAUACUUAAACAGCUAGGAUGUUGGCUCAGAGGCAGCCAUCAUUUAAAGAAUGCGUAACAGCUCACUAGUCAAGUGUCUCCGCGCCGAAAAUUUACCGGGGCUAAGCGCGAUACCGAAGUUGCGGAUAUUUCUAAAGAAAUGUGGUAGGGGAGCGUUCCAUUAGCAUAGAAGCCAUACCGGAAGGAGUGGUGGAGCGAAUGGAAGUGAGAAUGCCGGCGUAAGUAACGAUAAGAGGUGAGAAUCCUCUUCACCAUUUGACUAAGGUUUCCUGGGCUAGGUUCGUCCACCCAGGGUCAGUCGGGACCUAAGACGAGGCCGAAAGGCGUAGCCGAUGGACAGCAGGUUAAUAUUCCUGAACCCGGUUGUGUGCGAUCGCAGUGACGAAAGCGGUUAGGUUUACCCACGAAUGGAAGUGUGGGGAGAUAGUGAUAAGCUGUCGGCUAGAAUCCGACACCAAGUGAAACACCGAAGUACGAAAGGGGUGACCUGAGUAGGAAGUAGCUGAUACCGAUUUCCAAGAAAAGCUGCUAGCUUAAGCACAAUCGGCCCGUACCGAGAACGGACACACGUGGUCAAGGAGAGUAUCCUAAGGUGAGCGAGAUAACUGUUGUUAAGGAACUCUGCAAAAUUACUUCGUAAGUUAGCGAGAAGAAGUGCUCCGUAAAAGGAGCCGCAGUGAAGAGGCCCAAGUAACUGUUUACCAAAAACACAGCUCUAUGCUAAGUCGUAAGACGAUGUAUAUGGGGUGAAGCCUGCCCGGUGCCGGAAGGUUAAUAGGAGAGGUGAAAGCUUUGAAUUGAAGCCCCGGUGAACGGCGGCCGUAACUAUAACGGUCCUAAGGUAGCGAAAUUCCUUGUCAGGUAAGUUCUGACGUGCACGAAUGGUUUAAUAAUUUGGGCGCUGUCUCGACAGCAGACUCGGUGAAAUCUUAAUACCGGUGAAGAUGCCGGUUACCCGCGACUAGACGGAAAGACCCCAUGGAGCUUUACUACAACUUAAUAUUGAGUAAUUGCAAAUCAUGUAGAGGAUAGGUGGGAGGCUAUGAAGUAAUGGCGCUAGCUAUUAUGGAGCCGCCCUUGGAAUACCACCCUUGAUUUACAGUUAUUCUAACUUCCUCCCUGGAUGGGAGGGAAGACAGUGUUAGGCGGGUAGUUUGGCUGGGGCGGCCGCCUCCCAAAUAGUAACGGAGGCGCCCUAAGGUACCCUCAGUAUGGUCGGAAAUCAUACGUAGAGCGCAAAUGCAUAAGGGUGCUUGACUGCGAGACACACAGGUCGAGCAGGUACGAAAGUAGGGAUUAGUGACCAGGCGGUUUCAUUGUGGAAUGGCCGUCGCUUAACGGAUAAAAGCUACCCUGGGGAU
Molecule: ribosomal RNA, 1891 nt
Filed under: human gut metagenome
Description: bacterial LSU rRNA
Rfam family: Bacterial large subunit ribosomal RNA
Source: RNAcentral